Molecule: long non-coding RNA, 706 nt
Organism: Panthera uncia (snow leopard)
Lineage: Eukaryota; Metazoa; Chordata; Mammalia; Carnivora; Felidae
Exons: 5
Source: RefSeq, a predicted model, not a curated record
GGGGAGGUGCUACGGUGUUAGAGGGUGGGUGGGGCAGCCGGAAGUGGGCAGGGUUUGCAUGGAGGCGGAGCUUUGUUGGCAAACCUGCCUGGCUUUUUGAGGUCCCUGAUCAAGAAGCAGAACAAUACAGUGCUCCAACCUUGCCUUCCUAUCAUUACCUGCUGCCUGCCUAAAAGAGCCUUGAGCCACCAUGACAGAAGAUCAUCAUGCUGAAGAGGCCACAUUCUGGUCAACAGAGCCAGCUGAGCCCAGCGGUCUAGUCAUCCCUGCCAUGGUGCCAGAUAUGUGAAUGAAACAAACUGCCUUGAACCCUGUAAACUUCUCAUUAACCAGUUUCUCUCAGCAGAAGAUACUCAAAGGAAGAUAGAGCCAUAGAACAAAGAUUAAAUUCAAGGCCCUGUUAGAAAAUCAUGGACUCCAGGAGUGUAAGCAGAACUUGAAAUAACUCAUCAGUCUUCACCUGGAAGAAGUGGACUGAAAGAGAUAUAAUCAUGGUCAAGCUCUGGAAAUUAUCUGAUUACUGCUUGGUCCCUCCAUGGUGAUCUGUCUUUUGAUUUUAUACCCAAGAUGAUCAUCAGUGAUGACAUUUGAUCACUAGUAUUUCUUUUCAUUAGGAGCCCUGAGAGUGGUCUUCCUCUAGAAGGUGAUAUUACAAAACAGCAAACAUGCAAACCAACUGUUGGGGAUAUAAAGAUUGUAGAACAUC